AAAUAAAAAGACAUCGGGCAGGAUGGUUCUUAGAAAGGCUGAGAUUGUCGCCCAGCAUUGUCACUUGAGUGCAUGGAUCAGCGGCAUGGAGACAGGAGACCAGAGCCUCACCAGAAGUCAUCCUUUUCACCUUGCAUAAAUCGGGAUCCUCUGAGAUGGGGCUUUUUGGAAACCACUGGAAAGUGAAAGUGCUCAUUCUGCUGGGGUGGCUGAUCUAGAGGGAAGCAAGCUUGGCCCUCAUUUUACCACAUGUGGAGACCAUUCCUGAGAAGGAAGCCAACCCAGAGGCAAGCUAAACAAGAGACGAAAAAAGGGUGACAAAAAUAUACCAGUGAACAUUAGAUAAUUCCCAAUCCUGAUACCCCAGUACCUGGCGCCAUGUCUGACAUAAAAUGCUCUGUCCUUCCCCUUGCUCUCAGAUGAAACAGAAAGACCGAGAAGGUUGUGGUAUGCCUAGGAAUGAG
Molecule: long non-coding RNA, 464 nt
Organism: Suricata suricatta (meerkat)
Lineage: Eukaryota; Metazoa; Chordata; Mammalia; Carnivora; Herpestidae
Exons: 5
Source: RefSeq, a predicted model, not a curated record